GAAAAGAACCCCGGCGAGGGGAGUGAAAAAGAACCUGAAACCGUGUACGUACAAGCAGUGGGAGCACCCUUCGGGGUGUGACUGCGUACCUUUUGUAUAAUGGGUCAGCGACUUAUAUUCUGUAGCAAGGUUAACCGUAUAGGGGAGCCGUAGGGAAACCGAGUCUUAACCGGGCGUUAAGUUGCAGGGUAUAGACCCGAAA
RNAcentral lists this ribosomal RNA (202 nucleotides) under Salmonella enterica subsp. enterica serovar 1,4,[5],12:i:-. RNAcentral's name for it is "partial 23S ribosomal RNA". It matches the Rfam family "Bacterial large subunit ribosomal RNA", at positions 516 to 720 of the family's 2925-position model. The record is from RNAcentral. Lineage: Bacteria; Pseudomonadati; Pseudomonadota; Gammaproteobacteria; Enterobacterales; Enterobacteriaceae.